GAUGUGCUUUGAUCUUUUAUCGGUAAGAUAGUUUAGUAUAUGGGUCACUACGUUUCUAUGGGUUCUACUUUGACUCUCGAAGUCUUUCUUUUAGAAACAAUCGCUAAUAAUCGCUCUUAUGUGCUAGAAAUUCUGAUGAGACCUAGACUCUUUAGCUAAAGUAGUGGUGCCUCUGUUGUCAUAGUAUAAUGUUGUGCCAUCUGCUGACAUCACACC
Molecule: long non-coding RNA, 216 nt
Filed under: Elaeis guineensis (African oil palm)
Lineage: Eukaryota; Viridiplantae; Streptophyta; Magnoliopsida; Arecales; Arecaceae
Description: long non-coding RNA (EGUI_LNC070040)
Source: RNAcentral